RNAcentral lists this ribosomal RNA (489 nucleotides) under Bacillus sp. (in: firmicutes). RNAcentral's name for it is "bacterial SSU rRNA". It matches the Rfam family "Bacterial small subunit ribosomal RNA", at positions 388 to 868 of the family's 1533-position model. Lineage: Bacteria; Bacillati; Bacillota; Bacilli; Caryophanales; Bacillaceae. The record is from RNAcentral.
GGAGCAACGCCGCGUGAGUGAUGAAGGUUUUCGGAUCGUAAAGCUCUGUUGUUAGGGAAGAACAAGUGCGAGAGUAACUGCUCGCACCUUGACGGUACCUAACCAGAAAGCCACGGCUAACUACGUGCCAGCAGCCGCGGUAAUACGUAGGUGGCAAGCGUUGUCCGGAAUUAUUGGGCGUAAAGGGCUCGCAGGCGGUUUCUUAAGUCUGAUGUGAAAGCCCCCGGCUCAACCGGGGAGGGUCAUUGGAAACUGGGAAACUUGAGUGCAGAAGAGGAGAGUGGAAUUCCACGUGUAGCGGUGAAAUGCGUAGAGAUGUGGAGGAACACCAGUGGCGAAGGCGACUCUCUGGUCUGUAACUGACGCUGAGGAGCGAAAGCGUGGGGAGCGAACAGGAUUAGAUACCCUGGUAGUCCACGCCGUAAACGAUGAGUGCUAAGUGUUAGGGGGUUUCCGCCCCUUAGUGCUGCAGCUAACGCAUUAAGCACU